UAAACUUUAAGUUAUAUAAACUGAAGACCUUCAAAGUCUUUAAAAAGAAACUCAUCUUAAGUUUAU
RNAcentral lists this transfer RNA (66 nucleotides) under Bahadzia jaraguensis. Its description in RNAcentral is "transfer RNA Tryptophan". The record is from RNAcentral. Lineage: Eukaryota; Metazoa; Arthropoda; Malacostraca; Amphipoda; Hadziidae.